CCUGCCUUGCACGCAGGAGGUCAUCGGUUCGACUCCGAUAUUCUCCA
RNAcentral lists this transfer RNA (47 nucleotides) under Flavobacterium rivuli WB 3.3-2 = DSM 21788. It matches the Rfam family "tRNA", at positions 26 to 71 of the family's 71-position model. Rfam says of the family: Transfer RNA (tRNA) molecules are approximately 80 nucleotides in length. Their secondary structure includes four short double-helical elements and three loops (D, anti-codon, and T loops). The record is from Rfam by way of RNAcentral. Lineage: Bacteria; Pseudomonadati; Bacteroidota; Flavobacteriia; Flavobacteriales; Flavobacteriaceae.